Molecule: ribosomal RNA, 468 nt
Filed under: uncultured bacterium
Lineage: Bacteria
Description: partial 16S ribosomal RNA
Rfam family: Bacterial small subunit ribosomal RNA
Source: RNAcentral
GACGAACGCUGGCGGCGUGCUUAACACAUGCAAGUCGAACGGAAAGGCCCUGCUUUUGUGGGGUGCUCGAGUGGCACACGGGAGUGUAACACGUGAAUAACCUGCCCUUGACUGUGGGAUAACUUCAGGAAACUGGGGAUAAUACCGGAUAGGAGCUCCUGCUGCAUGGGGGGGGUUGGAAAGUUUCGGCGGUGGGGGAUGGACUCGCGGCUUAUCAGCUUGUUGGGGGGGUAGUGGCUUACCAGGGCUUGGGGGGGUCGCCGGCCUGAGAGGGGGCCCGCCCACUUGGGGCCUGGGAGACGCCCCAGACCCCAACGGGAGGCAGCAGUGGGGAAUAUUGCACAAGGGUCGGAAGCCUGUGGCGGCAACGCCUCGUGCGGAAUGACGGCCUUCGGGUGGUAAACCGCUUUCGCCUGGGACGAAGCGUGAGUGACGGUAAUGGGUAAAGAAGCACCGGCUAACUACGUG